UUCCGGUUGAUCCCGCCGGAGGCUACCGCUAUUGGAGUUCGAUUAAGCCAUGCGAGUCGCGAGUCUUAGGGACUCGGCGUACCGCUCAGUAACACGUGGGUAACCUGCCCUAUGCUGGGGGAUAACCUCGGGAAACUGAGAAUAAUACCCCAUAGUUCACCACGCCUGGAACGGUGGGUGGAUCAAAGCUCCGGCGGCAUAGGAUGGGCCUGCGGCGUAUCAGGUUGUAGGGGGUGUAAUGUACCCUCUAGCCCUCUACGCGUACGGGUGUUGAGAGACAUCGCCCGGAGAUGGAUUCUGAGACACGAAUCCAGACCCUACGGGGUGCAGCAGGCGCGAAAACUUGGCAAUGCGAGCAAUCGUGACCAGGGAACUCCAAGUGGCUGGGGUAAUACCCAGUUUUUUCUUGACUCUUCAAAGGUCUUGGAAUAAGGGGUGGGUAAGGACGGUGCCAGCCGCCGCGGUAAUACCGGCGCCUCAAGUGGUAGUCGCUUUUAUUGGGCCUAAAACGUCCGUAGCCGGUCUGGUACAUUCGUGGGUAAAUCAACCCGCUCAACGGGUUGAAUUCUGCGAGCACGGCCAGACUUGGGACCGGGAGAGGUGUGGGGUACUCUCAGGGUAGGGGUAAAAUCCUGUCAUCCUGAGAGGACCACCUGUUGCGAAGGCGCCACACUAGAACGGAUCCGACGGUCAGGGACGAAGCCUAGGGGCACGAACCGGAUUAGAUACCCGGGUAGUCCUAGGUGUAAACGCUGUGGACUUGAUGUUGGGAGUGCUCCGAGCACCCUCAGUGUCGAAGCGAAGGUGAUAAGUCCACUGCCUGGGGAGUACGGUCGCAAGGCUGAAACUUAAAGGAAUUGGCGGGGGAGCACCGCAACCUGAGGAUUGUGCGGUUUAAUUGGAGUCAACGCCGG
This 914-nucleotide ribosomal RNA is filed under the name uncultured marine archaeon. RNAcentral's name for it is "bacterial SSU rRNA". It matches the Rfam family "Archaeal small subunit ribosomal RNA", at positions 1 to 921 of the family's 1478-position model. The record is from RNAcentral.